This 660-nucleotide long non-coding RNA is filed under the name Linum usitatissimum (flax). RNAcentral describes it as "long non-coding RNA (LUSI_LNC006964)". Lineage: Eukaryota; Viridiplantae; Streptophyta; Magnoliopsida; Malpighiales; Linaceae. The record is from RNAcentral.
GAAAAGGAAAGUUCCAUUCCAUGGAUUUGCUUAAGUUUACAAAAAGAGUUCCAGAAAGUAGUUGCAGAGCUCUAUCUCUUAGGGAAGCCAUUACAAAGAUAGAAGGUGCGGUGCGCUCACUUGCCGGGGACAAAGUUGGUGGCGAAAGCCCAAGCAUUGUUGGCUACAGGGUCAGCAAUGUGGUCAUAAAGGUUCUCAACGGGACCUUUGCCAGUAACAAUGGCCUGGACGAAGAAGCCAAACAUGGAGAACAUAGCGAGGCGGCCAUUCUUGAUCUCCUUGACCUUCAACUCAGCAAAGGCCUCAGGAUCAUCUGCCAGGCCAAGUGGGUCGAAGGAGCCACCAGGAUAAAGUGGGUCAAGCCCUUCUCCGAGAGGUCCUCCACCAACUCUGUAACCUUCAACGAAUCCCAUGAGCACAACCUGGCAAGCCCAGAUUGCAAGGAUGCUCUGAGCAUGGACCAAGUUCGGGUUUCCGAGGUAAUCCAGACCUCCUUCGGAGAAGAUCUGAGCUCCAGCCUUGAACCAGACUGCCUCACCGAACUUGACUCCGUUCUUGGAAAGGAUUUCUGGGAAGACACAACCAAGUGCACCAAGCAUAGCCCACCUGCAGUGGAUAACCUCAAGCUCACGGUUCUUGGCGAAUGUCUCUGGGUCUGCU